AAUCUGGUAGCUUAAGGUUUCUGUAAUUAGAGUGUAGUUUUGAAGAAACUAAGGUGAGAGAAGUCUUCCUAGAUUG
RNAcentral lists this transfer RNA (76 nucleotides) under Bipalium admarginatum. RNAcentral describes it as "tRNA-Phe". The record is from RNAcentral. Lineage: Eukaryota; Metazoa; Platyhelminthes; Tricladida; Geoplanidae.